This 1034-nucleotide long non-coding RNA is filed under the name Homo sapiens (human). RNAcentral's name for it is "non-protein coding LINC01665:5". The record is from RNAcentral. Lineage: Eukaryota; Metazoa; Chordata; Mammalia; Primates; Hominidae.
UGCGUCGGGGUCGAGGCUCCAGCCUGACCAAUCCAGGGGGUCGACAAAACAGAUUCGGGACACCAUGCUACACGCAGGGCCUACCAGGAUGCAGAAACAGCAGACGGAGUCCGGGGAAAGCAGUGCGGCAUCCCAGCCUCAGGCCUGCCCGUACGGUGUUCGGGAGGGGAGGAGACCAAUGUGAAAGGAGAUGGUUAUAUCUCCUCGCGGCUCUUCUCUGAGAAAUGAAGCCAGGAUACGAAACAAUCUUCAAGAAGAAGCUGAAAACCGGAUAUGACAAGGAUGUCCCCAGAACACAGCAGGCAUCCUGAAGCUCUGCCUCCUGAAGCUCCCCCUCCCUCGGUGGAAGUCGGCUCAGGGAGGUCCUGAGGACAGGACUCCUGGGGGUUUGGCUGCAGAAUGAAUUAAUUCACUAGGACUUUAUAUAAUUUUUCAAAUCAUGAAAUUGCACAAUCUUUUGAAUAUGGAAUUGGGAGGCCUUUCAGUUCAUUCAGUAGAAAACUGGAACAUUUUUGAAGGGUGAUCUGCUCGACACCUUUCAAAGAGUACAAAACCUUGUGAAGUAGCAGAUGCAAUGAUUACCAAUGUACCUUAUAAAAUGACUUUCAGAGUUUGAGAUUAAAUUGGCUUUUCUGAAAUAUGUAAGUCUCUGGAAAAACUCAACAUUUCUAAUCUUGCUUUGGAAAGCCUUUAAGUAUGUAAAAAUCAAUUUCUUAUAUCUUCUCUGAAAUAAACAUGGAAUAUCCUAAGGUUUUAUUCAUGUUUCAUGAAUUUCACAGCAUUCAUCAUAUUUUCAAGUUAUUUUUGAUGCUUUGCAUUGUAUUAAAAUCUCUCUUGGAAUGAGAGGCCUGAAAAACAAUCAUAAUAUACUGUUGUUGUCUAACAAUAUAUCAAGUUUUUAAUGACUCUUACAAUGCAAUAUUUUUAUCAUUCUUGUAGUUUAUCCACAUGUAUUUAAUAUUACUAGCAGAAAUUUAGAUUUUAGUAAAUUAAUUCUGAUCUUUGUAAAAUAAAAUGCUUUAGUUUUCAAUCUA